AUAUGCACCCUGUAGAAUCGAAU
This 23-nucleotide microRNA is filed under the name Ichthyophis bannanicus. RNAcentral's name for it is "mir-10c". The record is from RNAcentral. Lineage: Eukaryota; Metazoa; Chordata; Amphibia; Gymnophiona; Ichthyophiidae.